UAGCCCACCUGUCUGUUAGGCAGCUCUCGAUCCUUCUGUGCCUUCUCUCACCAACCGUUGAGGUCUUUCUUCUGAAACAAAGAAGAACUAGACAAAUCAGACUUGCCCUCUUGGAAAUGUGGUCCAGAUUUCUCUACUCCCAAGCUCCAAGCCA
Unclassified non-coding RNA from Carlito syrichta (Philippine tarsier), 154 nucleotides. Lineage: Eukaryota; Metazoa; Chordata; Mammalia; Primates; Tarsiidae. The record is from Ensembl.